GAUGAAGAACGCAGCGAAAUGCGAUAAGUAAUGUGAAUUGCAGAAUUCAGUGAAUCAUCGAAUCUUUGAACGCAUCUUGCGCUCCUUGGUAUUCCUUGGAGCAUGCCUGUUUGAGUAUCAUGAGCAAAUCUCAAAGUCAAUUCCUUUUGUUGAUUCAAUUGGUUUUGCUUUGGACUUGGAGGCCUUGCAGAUUUCACAGUCUGCUCCUCUUAAAUGCAUUAGCUGGAUCUCAGUAAUUAUGCUUGGUUCGACUCGGCGUGAUAAGUAUCACUCGCUGAGGACACUGUUAAAAAGGUGGCCAGGAAAAUACUGAUUGAACCGCUUCUAACGGUCUAUUAAGUUAGACAAUUACCCUUAAGUUUGAUCUCAAAUCAGGUAGGACUACCCGCUGAACUUAAGCAUAUCAAUAAGCGGAGGA
This 418-nucleotide unclassified non-coding RNA is filed under the name soil metagenome. RNAcentral's name for it is "partial contains 5.8S ribosomal RNA, internal transcribed spacer 2, and large subunit ribosomal RNA". The stretch from base 1 to 120 matches the Rfam family "5.8S ribosomal RNA", at positions 35 to 154 of the family's 154-position model. The record is from RNAcentral.